AGAAAUCAGUUCAGCACUAAGUCACUUUGUCUACAUGGCAAAUGUGAGAUGCAGUGUAUGGAGCGUCAAUAUUCUAGUAUGAGAAAUUAACGAUUUAAGUCCUUCUUAAAUGAGGCCAUUUACCCAUAGAGGGUGCCAGGCCCGUAUAACGUUAAUGAUUACUAGAUGAUGUUUCCAAAGAGUCGUGUUGCUUGAUAGUGCAGCACUAAGUGGGUGGUAAACUCCAUCUAAAACUAAAUAUAACCAUGAGACCGAUAGUAAACAAGUACCGUGAGGGAAAGUUGAAAAGAACUCUGAAUAGAGAGUUAAACAGUACGUGAAACUGCUUAGAGGUUAAGCCCGAUGAACCUGAAUAUCCGUUAUGGAAAAUUCAUCAUUAAAGUUGUAACAUUUUAACAAUAUUAUAAUAAUAGUGUGCAUUUUUUCCAUAUAAGGACAUUGUAAUCUAUUAACAUAUACCAAAUUUAUCAUAAAAUAUGACUUAUAGUUUAUUUAAAUUAUUAUGCUUUCAUUUUAACAUAAAAUAAAUGUCAUUAAUUUGAUAAAGUGUUGAUAAAUUAAAAUUAAUACAGUGCGUUAAUUUUUCGAAAUUAUAUAAUGGCAUAAUUAUCAUCGAUUUUUGUGUUUAUUAUAUGCAUUUGUAUGAUUAA
Molecule: ribosomal RNA, 650 nt
Filed under: Drosophila tsukubaensis
Lineage: Eukaryota; Metazoa; Arthropoda; Insecta; Diptera; Drosophilidae
Description: eukaryotic LSU rRNA
Rfam family: Eukaryotic large subunit ribosomal RNA
Source: RNAcentral